This 1365-nucleotide long non-coding RNA is filed under the name Oryctolagus cuniculus (rabbit). Its description in RNAcentral is "lncRNA (ENSOCUG00000037462.1)". Lineage: Eukaryota; Metazoa; Chordata; Mammalia; Lagomorpha; Leporidae. The record is from RNAcentral.
AUUUAACAAAUGAGUAAGCAAAAAUUAUUUUUAUUAACAUAAUAUAAAAACUGUUAACUAAUUAUGGAGAGAAAAAAGAGGAAAGUGCAGAUAUAUAAAAUGAUCUUUUCGUUUUGAAGUCAACAUUCAAUGCAACAUGGGAACAAUGGAGGCAUUCUGUUUUCUGGGGCUUAGUACCCAGGACAAGCAGAUCCAAAUUCCUACAGAUUAGAGAAAAACUCAAGACAGAGCCAUUAGUGGGUUUAUAGCUUCUUUAUUCACAGUGGCAGUGAGAAAUGCACAAGGACAAGCCAUGUGCCUCCAAAGGCAGUGGGGUUACAGGAGGUAUCUGCCUUUGUGGACAUGGCAGUGGUGGGAUGCAAACACACACACACACAAACUACACACACACAAACUACACACACACACAUCCACAAGCAACCAUACCUAAUCCUGACCCCUAGUUGCUUAUAUGACUUACAGAUAAUAGGGGCCCAAAGUAAAACAUUAAAAAAAUAUACCUGUGAGCUCCUGGCCAAGCAGGUGGACCUGUCAGUUACCAUGACACCAGUUGCCAUGGAGAGACAGAUAUAUAGGAGUACAAGCAUAGCGGGGCAUGGGCAAAAGGCAUGGGAACUUGAGAACUUCAUCUUUCCGAGUUCAUCUUCUCAACGUAUUAUAACUCAGGAGUGUAGAAGAGACAAAGUUUACUUGACAUGCAAGACUUGUCUGGAAGCCUCCAUGGAAAAAACUGUAUGCCAGAGUCACCCAAAAUUGAAAAAGAAGAAGUCAUUUAUAUGCUCAGAUCUCUCUCCUUUCUUACUGGCCAGAGGACAUCCCAAGAGUUGUCACUCUCCUGACAUUUCAAGAUUUUGCCAUACAUCAUCUAAUGCUGUUGCCCAGGAAGCCAGAUACAGUGUCUUGGGAUGAAUAUUUUUAUUGCAGACUGAUAAUGAAAUUGCAAACUAGAGGUAGGACGUUAACAAAAGUGAACAGAUAAAGGAGGCUCACAUUACAAAAGUUUCCCAGCAUACCAAAUUCUUCCCUGUAUUAAUUUUCUCCUUGUUGUUUACCCUACCUAGAACUUAAGACCCAUAAGCCAGGGAUGAGGUAGGAAGUCUAUUUUCAGUUCCUAUUUUAUGAGAGCAGUUUAAAAACAAAGUGGAAAAAACUUGAAUUAAAAGAUGUUUAUUUGGUUCGAAAAGUUUUGAAGUCUAGGUGCGAGAAUUGUCUUAAAAAUCAUUGGAAAUUUAAAUUGCAAAGGAAACUAUGAUUGCUUUGUAUGUUUUUUGCAUAUGUGUCUUUCCAAUUUUCACACGAACAUUCUGAAGUACCCUCAUAUAUGUAGUGCUCAAUAAAUAGUUGUUGAAAGAAUGAAGUACUUCA